GGGCUUUAGCUCAGCUGGCUAGAGCAUCUGCCUUGCACGCAGAGGGUCAGGGGUUCGAAUCCCCUAAGCUCC
Molecule: transfer RNA, 72 nt
Filed under: bovine gut metagenome
Rfam family: tRNA
About the family: Transfer RNA (tRNA) molecules are approximately 80 nucleotides in length. Their secondary structure includes four short double-helical elements and three loops (D, anti-codon, and T loops).
Source: RNAcentral